RNAcentral lists this ribosomal RNA (253 nucleotides) under uncultured bacterium. RNAcentral's name for it is "partial 16S ribosomal RNA". It matches the Rfam family "Bacterial small subunit ribosomal RNA", at positions 524 to 776 of the family's 1533-position model. The record is from RNAcentral.
UACGUAGGGGGCGAGCGUUGUCCGGAAUCAUUGGGCGUAAAGCGCGUGUAGGCGGCCCGGUAAGUCCGCUGUGAAAGUCCAGGGCUCAACCCUGGGAUGCCGGUGGAUACUGUCGGGCUCGAGUCCGGAAGAGGCGAGUGGAAUUCCUGGUGUAGCGGUGAAAUGCGCAGAUAUCGGGAAGAACACCUAUGGCGAAGGCAGCUCUCUGGGACGGUACUGACGCUGAGACGCGAAAGCGUGGGGAGCGAACAGG